GAUGAACGCUAGCUACAGGCUUAACACAUGCAAGUCGAGGGGAAACGGCAUCGAAAGCUUGCUUUUGAUGGGCGUCGACCGGCGCACGGGUGAGUAACGCGUAUCCAACCUGCCCAUCACUUGGGAAUAACCUUGCGAAAGUAAGACUAAUGCCCAAUGACAUCCCACGAAGGCAUCCGAAUGGGAUUAAAGAUUUAUCGGUGAUGGAUGGGGAUGCGUCUGAUUAGCUUGUUGGCGGGGUGACGGCCCACCAAGGCAACGAUCAGUAGGGGUUCUGAGAGGAAGGUCCCCCACAUUGGAACUGAGACACGGUCCAAACUCCUACGGGAGGCAGCAGUGAGGAAUAUUGGUCAAUGGGCGAGAGCCUGAACCAGCCAAGUAGCGUGCAGGAUGACGGCCCUAUGGGUUGUAAACUGCUUUUAUAAGGGGAUAAAGUGGGUCACGUGUGACUUUUUGCAUGUACCUUAUGAAUAAGGACCGGCUAAUUCCGUG
Molecule: ribosomal RNA, 492 nt
Filed under: uncultured bacterium
Lineage: Bacteria
Description: partial 16S ribosomal RNA
Rfam family: Bacterial small subunit ribosomal RNA
Source: RNAcentral